Molecule: RNA transcript, 2718 nt
Organism: Globicephala melas (long-finned pilot whale)
Lineage: Eukaryota; Metazoa; Chordata; Mammalia; Artiodactyla; Delphinidae
Gene: ST7L
Gene name: suppression of tumorigenicity 7 like
Source: RefSeq, a predicted model, not a curated record
GCGGCAAGAUGGCGGACGGUGACGGCUUAGGUGAAGCAACGGCAGCUGCGGCGUCUCCUCCUGCUCCUGCUCCCGGCCGGAGCCCGCCGCUGGGCUGGAGGGAGCGGCUGCGGGCCGGCCUGGCGGGCACUGGGGCCUCGCUGUGGUUCGUGGCGGGGCUGGGGCUGCUUUACGCUCUGAGGGUCCCGCUGAGGCUGUGUGAGAAUUUGGCAGCGGUGACAGUAUUUUUAAAUUCAUUGACGCCCAAAUUCUAUGUGGCACUUACAGGGACAUCUUCUUUGAUAUCAGGACUAAUAUUUAUAUUUGAAUGGUGGUACUUCCAUAAGCAUGGCACAUCUUUUAUUGAGCAAGUAUCUGUAAGCCAUUUGCGACCACUGAUGGGAGGAACAGAAGGCAGCAUUUCAGAGCCAGGUUCUCCUUCCAGCAGCAGAGAAAGUGAAACCAGCAGACAGAAUUUGUCAGAAUGCAAGGUAUGGAGAAAUCCUCUAAAUCUUUUCAGAGGAGCAGAAUAUAGGAGAUACACUUGGGUGACUGGUAAAGAGCCACUUACAUACUAUGACAUGAAUUUGUCAGCUCAGGACCAUCAGACCUUUUUCACCUGUGACACGGACUUUUUACGUCCUUCAGACACAGUUAUGCAGAAGGCAUGGAGGGAAAGAAAUCCUCCAGCUCGAAUCAAAGCAGCCUAUCAAGCUUUAGAAUUAAACAAUGACUGUGCUACUGCAUAUGUUCUACUGGCUGAGGAAGAAGCAACAACUAUUGUAGAUGCUGAAAGGUUAUUUAAACAGGCACUCAAGGCAGGAGAAACAAUUUACAGGCGGUCACAACAGUGCCAGCACCAAAGUCCUCAGCAUGAAGCUCAACUGAGGAGAGAUACCAACGUACUGGUGUAUAUUAAAAGAAGACUGGCAAUGUGUGCAAGAAAAUUAGGAAGAAUAAGAGAAGCAGUGAAAAUAAUGAGAGAUUUGAUGAAAGAAUUUCCCCCUCUUACCAUGUUGAACAUCCAUGAAAAUCUCCUAGAAUCACUUUUAGAAUUACAGGCCUAUGCAGAUGUCCAAGCAGUUCUAGCAAAAUAUGAUGAUAUAAGCCUUCCAAAGUCAGCAGCCAUCUGUUAUACAGCAGCACUAUUGAAGACAAGGACUGUUUCAGAUAAAUUUUCUCCAGAAACAGCCUCCAGAAGAGGGUUAAGCACAGCAGAAAUUAAUGCUGUGGAAGCAAUUCAUAGAGCUGUGGAAUUUAAUCCUCAUGUUCCAAAAUAUUUACUAGAGAUGAAAAGUCUCAUUUUACCUCCAGAACACAUUCUGAAACGGGGCGAUAGUGAAGCAAUUGCCUAUGCUUUCUUUCAUCUUCAGCACUGGAAGCGAAUAGAAGGUGCUCUUAAUCUGUUACAGUGUACAUGGGAAGGCACUUUUAGAAUGAUUCCAUACCCACUAGAGAAAGGCCAUCUAUUUUAUCCUUAUCCCAGCUGCACAGAGACUGCUGAUAGAGAGCUAUUACCUCCGUUUCAUCAUGUUUCUGUUUACCCAAAGAAGGAGCUUCCUUUUUUCAUCCAUUUCACAGCAGGACUAUGUUCUUCUACAGCAAUGAUAGCUCUUCUCACACACCAGUUUCCUGAAAUCAUGGGUGUUUUUGCUAAAGCUGCAGCCAUUCUCCAACCCCUACCCCAAUUAUGAGAGGGUUGAGGCCCAGAAGUUUUUGUAUAAGUCAACUGCGAUAUUUACAGGAAACUUCUUCCUGGAGUCCCAGUGUAAACAGGGACAGAUCCUCAGGCAGCCUGGAAUACAAGAACCCUUCAAAUAUUCAACCUUAAUGUUGGAUGAAGUUGUUGACUCCAUCAGGAUUUCAAACCAGGAAGAAACAGAGCAUAUGGUGUCGAGGAUGAACUGUAAUACAGUCAAGGUAUCUGUGUUUUAGCUAUGCCCAUAACCUGACUCUCCCUGAACUGUAAAAAAAUUUCACAAAAACCUGUAACAGAAUAUCGUAACUGAUGAUGUUGUUUUGCCUUUUAACUUCUGUCUUCUAAAUCAGACCACUGAUUUUUUAAAAAGUUUAACAAUUUGAUAUCAGUUGAAAAUGACCAACAGACCUAGCAAUUGUUUUUGCUCCAAGGUUUUUUGGGGACAGUAACUCUUCUGGGAGGCAGUGUGUUGCAGUGGAAAGUGCUUGGACUUUGGAGCCCUACAGACCUAAGUUUGCAUCCUGGCUCUACCACUUCAUACUUCCUUGAUCCACGUAACCUUUGAGCUUUCAGUUCUUCAUCUAUAAAAUGCGGAUGACAAUACAUACUCUAACAGGAUACUGAAUGGUUUAAAUGAGUUAGUGACUGGUCAGUUCUCUCAUUUCUCAUCCCUGGAGAGCAUAUAUUUGGUUUCAUCUAUAAGGAUAAUGAAGUUUUCCUUUUUCCAAUGAGUUCUCACUUUCUACCACUCAUGUGUCUAAUUUAGAAAUCAAAACAAGUUUACUGCUUCUAACCUGGUAGGUUGAUCUGCUCCAAGAAGGAGAUGGCCUGGCCAGUUCCUGGGAAAGGCAGCUUAGGAACACACACAACACUUAUUCAGACCAAUGGUUAUCUGCACACUACUUGGGAAAGAAAAAGGACAAUCUUCUGCCUAGAGUGGCUUUUUGUGACUUUAGGAUAUAAGUGAAAAGAUUGCUUUUGCUUCCACUGAAUUUCUACAGCUUUUAAUCAAGUUACAAUUUUAACUCAUAAUACUGAUA